This 1700-nucleotide small RNA is filed under the name Pongo abelii (Sumatran orangutan). Its description in RNAcentral is "retained intron". Lineage: Eukaryota; Metazoa; Chordata; Mammalia; Primates; Hominidae. The record is from RNAcentral.
UAAACAAGAGCGGGGACGGCAUGAGGCGGCGGUUGAUCCCAGGGUGGCGAGUGGCGGCGACCGAGGCGGCGAGCGGGGCCCGGCGCCGACCCUGAGUGCAGCCUGACCCGCCCUCGCGCGUGCGCCCUCCCCGGCCGGGCCCACUCGCCGCGCGCCCAGCCAUGAACCUGGCGAGCCAGAGCGGGGAGGCCGGCGCCGGCCAGCUGCUCUUCGCCAACUUCAACCAGGACAACACAGAAGUGAAAAGGGCAUCAAGAGCAGCUGGUCUUGGCCGUCGCGCUGUUGUCUGGUUAGUUCCAACCCUGGUUUCUGAAAGUAUCACCUUGGAAGGCUUAUGUUAGAGGACUUUUUUGGCUUUUUGAAAUUGAAGUGAACCAGUUAAUAAGUGGCAGAGGAUCACUUGAAUCUGAAAUGGAAAUAUCAAGGACUACAUUUUUCCAGUGGACACCACAGCUUGUGGGAAGUCCCUAGCUGUUGGUAGUAAGUCCGGUUAUAAAUUUUUCUCCCUUUCUUCUGUGGAUAAGCUGGAACAGAUCUAUGAAUGCACCGAUACGGAAGAUGUGUGCAUCGUAGAGAGAUUGUUCUCCAGCAGCCUAGUGGCCAUUGUGAGCCUUAAAGCACCAAGGAAGCUAAAGGUUUGCCACUUUAAGAAGGGAACUGAGAUCUGCAACUACAGCUACUCCAACACGAUUCUGGCUGUGAAGCUCAACAGGCAGAGGCUGAUAGUAUGCCUGGAGGAGUCCCUGUACAUUCACAACAUUCGGGACAUGAAGGUGCUGCAUACGAUCAGGGAGACGCCUCCAAACCCUGCAGGCCUGUGUGCGCUGUCAAUCAACAACGACAACUGCUACUUGGCGUACCCAGGGAGCGCGACCAUCGGAGAGGUGCAGGUCUUCGAUACCAUUAAUUUGAGAGCUGCAAACAUGAUUCCGGCUCACGACAGUCCUUUAGCGGCAUUGGCCUUUGACGCAAGUGGAACUAAACUUGCCACGGCUUCGGAGAAGGGGACCGUGAUUAGGGUAUUUUCCAUUCCAGAAGGACAAAAACUCUUUGAGUUUCGGAGAGGAGUGAAGAGGUGCGUGAGCAUCUGCUCCCUGGCCUUCAGCAUGGACGGCAUGUUCCUCUCCGCCUCCAGCAACACUGAGACCGUGCACAUCUUCAAACUCGAAACUGUGAAAGAAAAACCCCCAGAGGAGCCCACCACCUGGACUGGGUACUUUGGGAAAGUGCUCAUGGCCUCCACCAGCUACCUGCCUUCCCAAGUGACAGAAAUGUUCAACCAGGGCAGAGCCUUCGCCACGGUCCGCCUGCCAUUCUGCGGCCACAAAAACAUCUGCUCGCUCGCCACAAUUCAGAAGAUCCCACGGUUGUUGGUGGGUGCCGCCGACGGGUACCUGUACAUGUACAACCUGGACCCCCAGGAGGGUGGCGAAUGCGCCCUGAUGAAGCAGCACCGGCUGGACGGCAGUCUGGAAACGACCAAUGAGAUCCUGGACUCUGCCUCUCACGACUGCCCCUUAGUCACUCAGACAUACGGCGCAGCUGCAGCAAAAGGUACUUACGUGCCUUCAUCCCCAACGAGACUUGGCUACACAGACGACCUGGGUGCUGUGGGUGGCGCCUGCCUGGAGGAUGAGGCCAGUGCCCUGCGCCUGGAUGAGGACAGCGAGCACCCACCCAUGAUUCUUCGGACUGACUGA